This 554-nucleotide small RNA is filed under the name Pan troglodytes (chimpanzee). Its description in RNAcentral is "processed transcript". Lineage: Eukaryota; Metazoa; Chordata; Mammalia; Primates; Hominidae. The record is from RNAcentral.
AGGUCCUCUGGAUGUCAGCAUGGCAGCCACAAACCUGGAGAACCAGCUGCACAGCGCACAGAAGAACCUCCUGUUCCUUCAGCGGGAGCAUGCCAGCACGCUCAAGGGGCUGCACUCCGAGAUCAGGCGGCUGCAGCAGCACUGCACAGAUUUAACAUAUGAGCUGACAGUCAAAAGUUCGGAACAGACAGAUCACGUUUCCUUAAAGCCACAUCUGGCACACCAAACUACACUAACGUGUCCUCCUCUGUGGGGAGAGCUCACCUGUGCAGCCGUAGUUAUAGAUGUUGAAGGUCAGCGUGUCCAUGAUGUUCCUCAGGCGUUUCAUGAGGAUGGAAUCAGGCAGCGACUUCUUCAGUGACAGCCUGAAGACCUCUAAGAAGGCAAUCAGGGAGUACUGGUACAUGGAGUUCACCAGGGCCAUCUCAGACAGGACGAAGAACAGGAUGGCCCCCCUCCUGGCUGCUGGCCGGUAGCCAUCCCGCAGCCUGUCGAUGUCCAAGGCUGUCUUCUCCGCCAGCUUGAGUUUCUCUGAGACCUGAAGAAAAGCACAG